This is a non-coding RNA of Microcebus murinus (gray mouse lemur), 471 nucleotides long. The record is from RefSeq and is a predicted model, not a curated record. NCBI's taxonomy places the organism in Eukaryota, Metazoa, Chordata, Mammalia, Primates, Cheirogaleidae.
GUACCAGCUUAGCCUCUCCCAAACUGAAGGUUUAGGAAAGGAGUGAGGGAACUGGGCAUCUUUAGAAGCGGUGGAUAAAAAGAUACAGGAAUAGGGAGUCAAGAACAGGGGUGAAAGGAUAUGAAGCCAGGAAGACUUCGGAGAGAGAAAGAGAUCAGAGGCUAUUGUCACAUCCAGAUCAAGAUGGCAGAGGGAUCAUACUGAGAAAGCUGCUUCUUCUUUCCAAGCACAGCUUGGUGGAAGACUGGAAGUUGGCUCAUUCAAUACUUCUCAAACUUCUGUUCAUCGAUGGUAGACUACAUUUCCCAAUUCCCCUCGCGUCUAGAUUCUCUGUGUGAUCGAGUUUCUGCCAAGCAGAGAUCUGAAAGGGUUCCCAGCUCUUAUGGACCACAUAGUCCUUACCUGACAAAGUGCAAGAGAACUAAAGAAGGUGCCUCCUUAAAUUUACAGCUGCAUGAUUCUUUUUAGAAA